CCUGAACGCUGGCGGCGUGGCUAAGACAUGCAAGUCGUACGGAACCCGCAAGGGUUUAGUGGCGAACGGGUGAGUAAUGAAUCGCUAACGUGUCCUCCUGUCUGGGAUAGCCAGUCGAAAGAUUGGGUAAUACCGGAUGAGACCACAGAUAGGCAUCUAUCGGUGCUCGAAAGGGAAACCGCAGGUGGAGCGGGCGAUUUCGUAUCAGCUAGUU
Molecule: ribosomal RNA, 214 nt
Filed under: uncultured bacterium
Lineage: Bacteria
Description: partial 16S ribosomal RNA
Rfam family: Bacterial small subunit ribosomal RNA
Source: RNAcentral